Molecule: non-coding RNA, 269 nt
Filed under: Palpitomonas bilix
Lineage: Eukaryota
Source: RNAcentral
GGUGAUCGUGGGCUUGCUGUCCAAUCUGGUGGACGACGAGAAGACCCUCGCCUUUCCGCGUCUCUUUCUCCCCUUUCGCGUCUCUCGCAGCAUGAACACGCAACUGUCCCGCGGGGGACAGGUCCGACCUCUCCCGUUUGUCCAGCACGGCAUCAUCGAGGAGCGCCUCGAUGCCCCCUUUUUCACAUACGACGAGGCCGUUCCGGAAGGGGAAGAGCUCUUUGCGUAUCUCUCCCCGGUGCACCUUCUCUCACAGAUGUGCCAGGUGU